UACGGGGGGGGCAAGCGUUGUUCGGAAUUACUGGGCGUAAAGGGCUCGUAGGUGGCCAACUAAGUCGGACGUGAAAUCCCUCGGCUUAACCGGGGAACUGCGUCCGAUACUGGUUGGCUUGAGUUUGGGAGAGGGAUGCGGAAUUCCAGGUGUAGCGGUGAAAUGCGUAGAUAUCUGGAGGAACACCGGUGGCGAAGGCGGCGUUCUGGACUGCUACUGACACUGAGGAACGAAAGCCAGGGGAGCAAACGGG
This 253-nucleotide ribosomal RNA is filed under the name uncultured bacterium. Its description in RNAcentral is "partial 16S ribosomal RNA". It matches the Rfam family "Bacterial small subunit ribosomal RNA", at positions 524 to 776 of the family's 1533-position model. The record is from RNAcentral.